Molecule: long non-coding RNA, 396 nt
Organism: Perca flavescens (yellow perch)
Lineage: Eukaryota; Metazoa; Chordata; Actinopteri; Perciformes; Percidae
Exons: 3
Source: RefSeq, a predicted model, not a curated record
GUUAGGUUCCAUAACAGCAUUGUUUCGCUUUUGCUUCUGAGAGACAACAGUCACAAUCUGCACGGCCACGAGAGCUCCUUGUCAGGGGGAUAAGCUCUGCAUAGACCAAGAGGAACAGAGGAAGUACCUGCAAAUUACACUGGAAACCAAUACUGUAGCAUCAACUGGCUGCAGCUUUCAGCUGUCAUUUCAGGCUAAGAGCACGACCCUCCUCCUCCCCUUGCACCUCCGGUCUUCAUCACGCACGGCUCCUGGGUCCUCCUCCGGCCGGUCGCUACCGUUGGAGCCUCGGCUUGGUCUUCAGGCUCCUCACACCACCAUCAGUGUCUAGACUCCAUCGGGGGAAUAUCUUUUGGUUUUCUACCCCUUUAUAAAAUAUAAUUUUAUAAGAGUCUA